This 719-nucleotide long non-coding RNA is filed under the name Manacus vitellinus (golden-collared manakin). Its description in RNAcentral is "lncRNA (ENSMVIG00005008750.1)". Lineage: Eukaryota; Metazoa; Chordata; Aves; Passeriformes; Pipridae. The record is from RNAcentral.
CACAGUGACAUGCAGAUGAGCGCUGAGGGGUGGCUAAUUGCUCAGGGCAGGCUGACAUAAUGGAGCAGUUCUGAGAGCACCUCAGCUGCAGAGAUAUGUGCUGGCCCUCUGCUGCUGCCCUCCUGCACAGAUGCUCUCUCUCCUUCAUAGGAGGAAUCUCCCUUCAUUUCUCACCAAGAGGAGUCUGAAGAAUUGAGUGCCCAAAGAAUUUGCAUGGAAUUAUUCAUCCCGCUCAAGAUCUGCAGGAUGCUCCUUCCCUCACUGUGCACAGACCAUGCUGGGGGUGGCACAUGCAGAUGGACAGUGCUGGAGGGCACAACCGACUGCAGCGGCUCCUUGCUGCUCCCACACAGACUGUGGAUGCCAUGGGGUUACAGCUGGCCACGUCAGCAGCAGGAACGGAGCUCCGGCGUGUCCCUCUCCAUGGUGCAGGCUGGGCACAGGAGUGGUGCUUACAUAGGUGAGGAGAAAGCAUUUUUGCAACAGCAUGGAAAAUGUGUAUGAGGAGACAAGACAUCAGGCUGCCAUCAGCACAAAUGUAUCUGUGCCUUAUUUUUCUGCUUUCCUGGCUCCCAGACAAGUGCCACCAAAACCACCAAUUUUCCUGUCCUUUCUUUCCUUUGCUUUCACAAGUAUCUUAAACCAAACCCCUCCCUCCCAGCAGAAACAGGAUGCACUGCUGGGUAUAGAAUAAAAAAAUCAGUAUUUUUAAUCCCUCA